RNAcentral lists this transfer RNA (146 nucleotides) under Hapsidospora chrysogenum ATCC 11550. Its description in RNAcentral is "Acremonium chrysogenum ATCC 11550 tRNA-Lys". It matches the Rfam family "tRNA". From Rfam's summary of the family: Transfer RNA (tRNA) molecules are approximately 80 nucleotides in length. Their secondary structure includes four short double-helical elements and three loops (D, anti-codon, and T loops). Further hydrogen bonds mediate the characteristic L-shaped molecular structure. tRNAs have two regions of fundamental functional importance: the anti-codon, which is responsible for specific mRNA codon recognition, and the 3' end, to which the tRNAs corresponding amino acid is attached (by aminoacyl-tRNA synthetases). tRNAs cope with the degeneracy of the genetic code in two manners: having more than one tRNA (with a specific anti-codon) for a particular amino acid; and 'wobble' base-pairing, i.e. permitting non-standard base-pairing at the 3rd anti-codon position. Lineage: Eukaryota; Fungi; Ascomycota; Sordariomycetes; Hypocreales; Bionectriaceae. The record is from RNAcentral.
GCCCGGUUAGCUCAAUCGGUUAGUACUCCUGACUCGUCUUGGGCCCAAUUUCCAUGGAACCGUGGCUAACCCUCCCAAAAGGUAGAGCGUGAGACUCUUACGAGUACGCGAUCUCAAGGUUGCGGGUUCGACCCCCGCAUCGGGCU